UCAAAACUUACCUUAUAGUUAGGUAGGAGUGGAGAAGCAAGAACGAAGAUGAAAGAUUAAAAGAGGAAAAAAAAAAAAAUGGAGGCUUUGGUGUGCAAGAAAGUAGGUGAUCCAACAGCAUUGAAAUCAUCAAUAUCAGAGGCAGAUAAUGAUUCCCCAAUAAUUCUAAGCAAAACCCAUCCUAUCCCACAACUUAAGUCACCCACAUCAGUUAGAGUUAGAGUUAAAGCUACAAGCUUGAACUAUGCAAAUUACCUGCAAAUUUUAGGCAAGUAUCAAGAGAAACCUCCUCUUCCUUUCAUUCCUGGCUCUGAUUAUUCUGGCAUCGUUGAUGCUGUGGGUUCUGAUGUCUCACUUUUAAAGGUCGGUGACCGUGUUUGUUCCUUUGCUGCGCUUGGUUCCUUUGCUGAAUUCAUUGUUGCUGACCAGGCUGAAUUGUUUAAAGUGCCAGAUGGGUGUGAUUUGGUUGCUGCUGGUGCAUUACCUGUGGCUUUUGGCACCUCGCAUGUUGCACUUGUUCAUCGAGCUCAAUUGACUUCUGGUCAGGUGUUGUUGGUUCUUGGUGCAGCUGGAGGGGUUGGUAUUUCUGCUGUUCAAAUUGGCAAGGUUUGCGGGGCUGUUGUUAUUGCAGUUGCAAGGGGAGAUGAAAAGGUGCAGUUUUUGAAGUCAUUGGGAGUGGACCAUGUAGUGGACUCGAGCAAAGAGAGUGUCAUUGCAAGUGUCAAGGACUUCCUUAAAGCAAGGAAGCUCAAAGGGGUUGAUGUUUUGUAUGAUCCUGUUGGAGGCAAACUUACUAAAGAAAGCAUGAAGUUGUUGAAUUGGGGUGCUCAGAUUUUGGUUAUUGGUUUUGCUAGUGGGGAUGUACCUGUCAUCCCUGCAAAUAUUGCUCUUGUCAAGAACUGGACUGUGCAUGGACUUUAUUGGGGCAGCUAUAAAAUACAUCGACCUGUUGUGCUCGAAGAUUCAAUCCGGGAGCUGCUUUCCUGGGUGGCAAAGGGCCGGAUUACCAUCCACAUUUCUCAUACUUACAGUUUAUCAGAGGUCACUCAUGGUCAUGUAACAGCAUUUCCUGAAUGAAGGACUAGGUUUGUGAUAAUAUCUUCGUUUGGUCGAACAUAUGAAUCUACCAACAAGAAGUCAUCUACCAAUCAAAGCAUGGAUGGACAGAUCCUUUGAUGACAUCUGUCUAACCCAACAGCCAGUCUCGCGUUUGCUGCUAUUAAAGAUAGGAAGGCAAUUGGGAAGGUGAUGAUUGCUAUUGAUGAUGAAAGAAGUGUGAAAUCUAAGCUUUAAGUCAAUCAGGACUCAGAUGGGAUGGAAUGCAGAAUAUAUUCCUUUUUGCAGACUCUCCUUUUAAGUUACCCUUCAAGCAAUUUUCUCAUUUCUGUUUGAUACAA
Populus nigra (black poplar) is the source of this 1397-nucleotide RNA transcript. RefSeq lists it as uncharacterized. The record is from RefSeq and is a predicted model, not a curated record. NCBI's taxonomy places the organism in Eukaryota, Viridiplantae, Streptophyta, Magnoliopsida, Malpighiales, Salicaceae. The transcript has 7 exons.